Molecule: ribosomal RNA, 275 nt
Filed under: uncultured Lachnospiraceae bacterium
Lineage: Bacteria; Bacillati; Bacillota; Clostridia; Lachnospirales; Lachnospiraceae
Description: partial 16S ribosomal RNA
Rfam family: Bacterial small subunit ribosomal RNA
Source: RNAcentral
AAUCCUUCGGGAGGAAGACCAUUGUGACUGAGUGGCGGACGGGUGAGUAACGCGUGGGUAACCUGCCUUGUACAGGGGGAUAACAGUUAGAAAUGACUGCUAAUACCGCAUAAGCACACAGUACCGCAUGGUACGGUGUGAAAAACUCCGGUGGUAUGAGAUGGACCCGCGUCUGAUUAGCUAGUUGGCAGGGCAACGGCCUACCAAGGCGACGAUCAGUAGCCGACCUGAGAGGGUGACCGGCCACAUUGGGACUGAGACACGGCCCAGACUCC